This 72-nucleotide transfer RNA is filed under the name Bos taurus (domestic cattle). It matches the Rfam family "tRNA". From Rfam's summary of the family: Transfer RNA (tRNA) molecules are approximately 80 nucleotides in length. Their secondary structure includes four short double-helical elements and three loops (D, anti-codon, and T loops). Further hydrogen bonds mediate the characteristic L-shaped molecular structure. tRNAs have two regions of fundamental functional importance: the anti-codon, which is responsible for specific mRNA codon recognition, and the 3' end, to which the tRNAs corresponding amino acid is attached (by aminoacyl-tRNA synthetases). tRNAs cope with the degeneracy of the genetic code in two manners: having more than one tRNA (with a specific anti-codon) for a particular amino acid; and 'wobble' base-pairing, i.e. permitting non-standard base-pairing at the 3rd anti-codon position. Lineage: Eukaryota; Metazoa; Chordata; Mammalia; Artiodactyla; Bovidae. The record is from Rfam by way of RNAcentral. RNAcentral also lists the same sequence under 3 other names.
UCCCUGGAGGUCCAGUGGUUAGGACUCCACACUUUGACUGUCGAGGGCCUGGUUCAAUCCUUGGUUGGGGAA